AAAAAAAAAAGAAAGAAAACAAAAUUGUGAUGUUUCUGAUUGGUGGUCCAAACUUUCCUGAGAACCACUGCAUUGAACAAGGAGAUGAUCUGAGACAGGUGAAACCAGUGGAAUGAAUGUUUAAGAAACCUGCAAGCUUGGGAAAAAAGGCCAGCAACUUGGAAAGAUUAAUCAAAAGGAUAUUUGGGAAGCUUAUCACCUCCACCUCUUGUUUGGUUUGUUUGUUUGUUUGUUUGUUUGUUUGUUUGUUUGUUUUUGAGACAGAGUCUCGCUCUCUCGCCCAGGCUUGAGUGCAGUAACAUGAUCUAGGCUCACUGCAGCCUCUGCCUCCCGGGUUCAAGGAUUCUCCUGCCUCAGCCUCCAGAGUAGCUGGGACUACAGGCACAUGCCACUGUGCCAGACUAAUUUUUGUAUUUUUCUUUUCUUUUUUAGUAGAGACAGGGUUUCACCAUGUUGGACAAGCUGGUCUCAAACUCUUGACCUCAGGUGAUCUGCCCGCCUUGGCCUCCCAAAGUGCUAGAAUUACAGGCAUGAGCCACCAAGCCCAGCCUCUCCUCCACCUCGUAAGUGUUUUCAAAGUAAAGCCAGAAUCCUCAACUGCUUCUGCCCCCAUGAAAUCAUUACCCUUCAAUGAGCCAAUUCAAAUGCUGCUUCUUUUGUGAAGCUUUCUGCCACCACCCUUCCCUCCCAGAAUGUUGUACUUUCCCUGAUCUGCUUCAUAACACCUCCUUCCAAGCACACAUAGGAUUUCACGCAUCCUCUAGUAGCUAGGUGGUACAGGUCUGAUUUCCCAUCAGACUGUGAGCUUUUUGAGGGCAUUCAUAAUGACCUUCUUUUCUGUAGUGCCUACAAUUACAGCAGAAAAGCAGCACUCAAAAUGUUUGUUGAAGCUCUCCAGUGAACUGGGGUUCUAAUUAUUGAGUGAAGAACUUGACACUAAGUGGCUGUUGCCUGCAUUAUCCCAACCCAUCUCUGCAGAGAGAUGGGAGCAGCAGAGGGCGCUGUCACUGCAGGUGUAGGGGCAUUUUUCCUCUCCAUGACAUGCCAGAUGGCCCCCCGGGGCCACAGCUCCACCGUAAGAGUCCCCAAUUUUGUUUUGUUUUUUUACAGUGAGGGUGUUCUAGAGGAAAGGGCUCAACGAAUCCAAUUGCAAUAGCUCCAGUUUGUGAUAAAGAUGACAAUUUUUUUUUAUUUGAGACAGAGUCUGGUUCUGUUGCCCAGGCUGGAGUGCAGUGGCACAGUGUUGACUCACUGCCACCUCCACCCCCGGGGAUUCAAGCAAUUAUCGUGUCUCAGCCUCCCGAGUAGCUGGGAUUACAGACCCCAACCUCCAGCUAACUUUUGUAUUUUCACCAUGUUGGCAAGGCUGGUUUUGAACCCCUGAUCUCAAGUCAUCCUCCUGCCUCAGCCUCUCAAAGUGCUGGGAUUACAGGCAUGAGCCACGGUGCCUGGGCUGACAAAUAUUUAUUAUUGAGUUUGUGGAACCCAGAAUGAUCUAGGGCCUCAGUGGCCACUGAACCCUGGGGCACACUUGAACAAAAAUAUGGGCUUCUCAGCCACUAUGCCUUGACAUCCUCUCUAAUCAGAAGUUUGUGUAAUAAGUGCAAAAGACAAUAUUCACAGUGACAAUGAUACUGUGAACUGCCAUAGGGAGAGUAGACAUGACUGUGGUGACAAUGCAGCGGCAGCAGGACCCUGUCCUCUCAUAAGUGGGCAUCCUUUCCCCAUGUGAACACCACAUAGCAGAAACGCCCAUCUUCCAAAGCCCUUUUAUCAUGUUAUGAAUUAUUUACACUUCCAUAUAUUUCAGUUAAAGAGUGGUAAUCAGAUCUGUAUGGAUGCCACUUGGGUCAUUUGUCAUUUCACUUGAAGGCAAAGAAAUGUUUUUAACUGGUAAGUACAACCUUAUCAUAAAAGUCUAUUUUCUGUAAGAAAUACUGAAAAUAUAUUAAAGACCUCCCUUAGUGCCCUUCAGGACACAUAAGAAUCCUAAUAUACCAGGUUGGGAACCAUUGCUAUAGGAUUUGAAAGGAAUAGUAAAUAGUAUUAUCUGAAAGUGAAGAGGAAGAAGAGAUUCUACUUAAAAAUAUUUGUUAAAUGACUGAAAGAAAUAAAUCUAUGAAGUCGUUUAGAACAUGGUCCUUUAGGGAAAGACCUGCCUGCUGUAGAUUCCAUUCACAUUUUAUACGUUUGUAAUGCCUUACAAAGCUAGUCUUUGCACUUAAAGCUACUGCUAACUGAGCAAUAGAAUCACACCUCAUAAGGCUUAAACUGUGUAUUUAAAGGUUUUGAUAGGGGAUCCAGAAAUCUGAGUGAAACCCUGGGUUCUGCAGGUACACAUGGCUCAUGUAUAAGGCAUUUGAAGGGCUUGUGGCCUUGAUGGGGAACACUGUCAACUCUGAUCCUGUUUGUCUGAGGUUACUUGGGGUACAAGAUGAAGACAGAAGGGCGUGCCUCCCUUCUGGAACCAUCACGGCCAGCAGCCGCAUGUUGGGCAGCUGCUGAUACUCAGGGUGCCCAGGCGGGAGAUGGUGAGAGGCCAGCCCUAGCCAAAUUCCUUGCUGCUGCCAGAGGAAGCAGUCUUGCCAUGUGUGUCCACAGGGAUAAGAUUAGCUGCCGAGGUGGAGCUGAUAUCUGAGCGAGGCUCUCGAGGACACAUUCUGGAUAGAUCUCCAUAUGGGAGUUGGAUGACUGCCACCAGCCAGUCUUGGCAGUCCCCAGAAUUCUUCUGAAGUGGACAGUGGAAGAAGUGAAACAUUUGCCUGGCAGCUGGCAUCAAUGCAGUCUCUCUCUGGACAUGCAGAAGAAAAGGUUCAAAAGGAACUGAACCCAAACCAGUCUUUAUUUGGUUUUAGAUGGAAUUAAAACAUUUUUGUGGGUCUCGACAAGUAUUGCCAGCACUGCACCUGCCA
RNAcentral lists this long non-coding RNA (2912 nucleotides) under Homo sapiens (human). Its description in RNAcentral is "HSALNT0114584". Lineage: Eukaryota; Metazoa; Chordata; Mammalia; Primates; Hominidae. The record is from RNAcentral.